RNAcentral lists this unclassified non-coding RNA (1203 nucleotides) under uncultured fungus. RNAcentral's name for it is "sequence contains 18S rRNA gene, ITS1, 5.8S rRNA gene, ITS2, 28S rRNA gene". Lineage: Eukaryota; Fungi. The record is from RNAcentral.
UCUUGUGCGACUGCGCCGUCGGCCGCGUCCUCAUGCGCGGCAGGUCCGAGGUCCUCGACCUCGGCCGCCGCACCCGCCUCAUCACGCCGUCCCAACGGCGGGCGCUGCGCGUGCGGGAUGGAACGUGUGUAGAACCGGGCUGCACCCUCCCCGCCCAAUACUGCGACGGCCACCACAUCGUCCACUGGACCAAAGACGGCGAGUCCAACCUCGACAAUCUGCAGCUCCGCUGCCGACGACACCACCUCCGCCAACACCAACGCGACCUCCAGGCCGCUAUCACCACCCGACGACGAGAAUGAGAUCGUUCGAAGGGCGUCGGAGUGAUCAGGACGACUUCGGAGGACCGAUGAUGAGGCGGCUCAGGUCGAUUCGCGCUGCGUCGCCGGACAGUCGCACCGUGUACCGGUCGAGAUCGCGCGGGCACGGACCGCCGACGCACCGUCCGUCGAACGCGUAGGUCGCGCCGCCGCACGGAUCCUCGAUCUUGGGAUCGCCCGGGUUCUCGUCGAACCCUCGGCCGUAUCUCCGAUCACCCGGAACCAACAACGAGCAUCCGAGGUGGGUGCUCACGCCGAGGAACGCCUGGACCUGUCCCGAGCGUCGCACGAAGAACACGCGAGCCGCCCCCGAUUCGCGAUGAGGCGGCAGCGCCGUUGACGGAAGCUCGACGGCGACGGGGAGCACACGGCCGUUCCUCAGGUCGGAGACGUCGGCCGUCACGACAUGUGCCGGUACGUCGGAUUCCCCGCGAUCGAAGAUGGCAACGAAUGCGAUGGCGGUGACGGCAGCGACGGCGACGAGUACCGCCGCCAACAGCAGGCGCGCACGCACGCCCGAUUCUCGCGCACCGCAGGGCUCGAACCUCGGGUCGUGACUCCUAGCCGGGGCGGGUCAUGUCCUCGGGGACGAUGAUCCGGUCGUACUCCUCUUCGGUGAGGUGGCCGAGGGCGACCGCGGCUUCCCUGGCCGUGAGGUCGUUCUUGUGGGCGUGCUUGGCGAUGGCGGCGGCGUUGUCGUAGCCGAUCGCCUCGUUGAGGCCCGUCACCAGCAUGAGCGACCGCUCGACGUACUCGGCAAUCUGCUCGCGGUUCGCCUCCACCCCGUCGAUCGCGAACAGCCGGAAGUUCGUGCAGGCGUCGGUGAGCAGGUCGACGGAGUGCAAGAAGUUGAAGAUCAUCACCGGCUUGAACACGUUGAGCU